This 636-nucleotide long non-coding RNA is filed under the name Rattus norvegicus (Norway rat). RNAcentral's name for it is "long non-coding RNA NONRATT022960". Lineage: Eukaryota; Metazoa; Chordata; Mammalia; Rodentia; Muridae. The record is from RNAcentral.
UCUGACGGAGGUGGCUGCUGCAACUACACGUUAAAGGCUCCGGGUAGCCCAGACUCCAGGACUCAUCCAAGGCCUAGCGGGACAGUACCCACCCUGUCUGCCUGCCAUUUUGUCAGUGAUGAGGCGACUUCCUCCACCUAGGAAGCUCAGACUACUAUUGUUCCAGAACUGGAGAUGCCCAGCUUACCUGCUAUUUCAAGCUUCAAUGGCCUCUGCUAAGUAAAAAGUCUUCCUAGAGAUUUAUUUAUUUGAGUACACUGCAGCUGUCUUCAUACACACCAGAAGAGGGCAUGGGAUCCUGUUAAAGAUGGUUGUGAGCCACCACGUGGUUGCUGGGGAAUUGAACUCAGAACCUCUGGAAGAGCAGUCAGUGCUCUUAACUGCUGAGCCAUCUCUCCCAUCCUGCCUCUGUCUCCUGAGUACUUGGAUUAAAGAUCUCCCUGCCAGCUCCCCAGCAUGGCACUGCAGUGUCUCAUGCUCCUGACUGGCCUUGUGGUGGGAGGCAUGAGCAAAUCCACAGAAAGCAAGGGUUUCUCUGUCCAGAAACUUGCUCUGUAGACCAGGCUAGCCUCAAACUCAGAGAUCUGGAGUAUUGGGAUUUAAAGACAUGCCAGCACCUGACUGGAACCUUGUCUU